GGCACUUUGCUGCAGGACCCCACCUUGCUGAAUUCCUGGAGGGAGAGAUGCAAAGCCCAGCUGGAUGUGAGGGAGCCAUCUGAGCCAAAAUAGGAGCUGAAGCCCCAGAAAGUGGUGGGGUAGAGCUGUGAAUCCUAGCAACAGGCGGGGAAAGAACUGUACGUUUCCUCACGUCCUCCAAGUGUUGGUGCCUUCUGGUACAUCCCUGACAGGAAGAGACAGAGACCAUGGAAAGGCCCUCCUUGCUGAUGCAUCAAGAAAGGGCACAUUUUUUCCAGUGGGAUGGGUUUUGACUCAGUUACUUGUCUGGGAGGCUGCUGUGUGAAGGUGGAGCCCCCAAACUGGAGCUUUUUUCCCUUAACCCUCCCGCACCACUGGGAAUAAUAAUUCCUCACAGGGCUGUUGCACAGCUUGAUUCAUUAAGGCUUAUGAAGUGCUUUUAGCUCCGGCACUGAAAGGCUCUGUGCAAGUUAUUUUGGACGGCUCAGGUGUUAGGAGGAGAGGUGUUGCAGAAGGAAUGCAAAUAAAUCAAGAGACACUGCCCCUUCCUUCCACGCAUCCCCUGCCCCGCACGGAUCUCCAUCACUGUUGGUGUCAAACAGUUAAUUUACAAGCCCAGCACUUUACAAAGCCCCUGGAGCACCAAUUGUCCCUUUCUCAUGCAACAUCAGCUCCUCAGAACAGCCAGCUGAGUCUCCGGGGUCAGCCUGCUCCUGCCCUUCCCAAGGCAACUCCAGCCUCUCUCCGGAACCGCCUGGGUGUUUAUUUAUUU
Ficedula albicollis (Collared flycatcher) is the source of this 772-nucleotide long non-coding RNA. RefSeq lists it as uncharacterized. The record is from RefSeq and is a predicted model, not a curated record. Lineage: Eukaryota; Metazoa; Chordata; Aves; Passeriformes; Muscicapidae. The transcript has 3 exons.